UCAAAACCCCCCCCCACCAGUGAAAUAUAUUAUAAGAUAUAAUAAAAUUAAUGUUAAAACUAGUAAUAAGAAAACAAGAUUUUCUCACGUGCACCAAUGUAAGUCAGAGUGAACAAAUCACUGACAACUAUAAGUAAAUAUAAGUUCAUAAACAAGACAACAUAUUAAUUUCAAUAUUAAACCGACACUGGAGUGCACCAAUGAAAGAUAAAAAGAUAAAGAAGGAAUUCAGCAAACACGACUCCCGCCUGUUUACCAAAAACAUCACCUCUAGCAUACGUAUUAGAGGCCCUGCCUGCCCAGUGAUAUAAUUCAACGGCCGCGGUAUUCUGACCGUGCAAAGGUAGCAUAAUCACUUGUCUUUUAAAUAAAGACUAGAAUGAACGGCAAAACGAGGUAUCAACUGUCUCCUUUAUCUAGUCAAAGAAACUGAUCUCUCUGUGAAAAAGCAGAGAUAAUUAUACAAGACGAGAAGACCCUAUGAAGCUUAAAUACACACAUACAAAAACUUAUUCAUAUAAGUCCUAAAUCAAUAACUGUAACACAUUUGGUUGGGGUGACCACGGAGAAAAAGUAACCUCCGAGAAAAUAAAUUAAGAAAAACAAUUCAAAAUUAGACCAAAUAACUUGAUCCAAUCUUAUUGAACAACGAAACAAGUUACUCUAGGGAUAACAGCGCAAUAUUCUCCAAGAGUUCCUAUCGACGAGAAAGUUUACGACCUCGAUGUUGGAUCAGGAUAUCCAGACAAU
RNAcentral lists this ribosomal RNA (750 nucleotides) under Scolecomorphus uluguruensis. Its description in RNAcentral is "partial 16S ribosomal RNA". It matches the Rfam family "Bacterial large subunit ribosomal RNA", at positions 1536 to 2554 of the family's 2925-position model. Lineage: Eukaryota; Metazoa; Chordata; Amphibia; Gymnophiona; Scolecomorphidae. The record is from RNAcentral.